ACGGGAGGCAGCAGUGGGGAAUAUUGCACAAUGGGGGAAACCCUGAUGCAGCGACGCCGCGUGAGUGAAGAAGUAUUUCGGUAUGUAAAGCUCUAUCAGCAGGGACGAAGAAGUGAACUUGUUCACUUUGUGACGGUACCUGACUAAGAAGCCCCGGCUAACUACGUGCCAGCAGCCGCGGUAAUACGUAGGGGGCAAGCGUUAUCCGGAUUUACUGGGUGUAAAGGGAGCGUAGACGGUUCGGCAAGUCUGAUGUGAAAUCCCAGGGCUCAACUCUGGGACUGCAUUGGAAACUGUUGAACUAGAGUGCAGGAGAGGUAAGUGGAAUUCCUAGUGUAGCGGUGAAAUGCGUAGAUAUUAGGAGGAACAUCAGUGGCGAAGGCGGCUUACUGGACUGUAACUGACGUUGAGGCUCGAAAGCGUGGGGAGCAAACAGGAUUAGAUACCCUGGUA
RNAcentral lists this ribosomal RNA (453 nucleotides) under uncultured Coprococcus sp. RNAcentral describes it as "partial 16S ribosomal RNA". It matches the Rfam family "Bacterial small subunit ribosomal RNA", at positions 341 to 792 of the family's 1533-position model. The record is from RNAcentral. Lineage: Bacteria; Bacillati; Bacillota; Clostridia; Lachnospirales; Lachnospiraceae.